This 253-nucleotide ribosomal RNA is filed under the name uncultured bacterium. RNAcentral describes it as "partial 16S ribosomal RNA". It matches the Rfam family "Bacterial small subunit ribosomal RNA", at positions 524 to 776 of the family's 1533-position model. The record is from RNAcentral.
UACGUAGGGUGCGAGCGUUGUCCGGAAUUACUGGGCGUAAAGAGUUCGUAGGCGGUUUGUCGCGUCGUUCGUGAAAACUUGGGGCUUAACUCCAAACGUGCGGGCGAUACGGGCAGACUUGAGUACUACAGGGGAGACUGGAAUUCCUGGUGUAGCGGUGAAAUGCGCAGAUAUCAGGAGGAACACCGGUGGCGAAGGCGGGUCUCUGGGCCGAUACUGACGCUGAGGAGCGAAAGCAUGGGUAGCGAACAGG